CAUUUGAAGCCCAUGAGGAUGAGAACCUCCGGGGGCGGGGAGGUUCGACUCGAGCGAAGCGAGAGAACGUUGCGCCAGCAACGGCCCGCAGGGCGAGCCACGAAGUGGCGAGUAAUCCUCUAUCACCGACCA
This 132-nucleotide small RNA is filed under the name Escherichia coli. RNAcentral describes it as "RtT sRNA". It matches the Rfam family "RtT RNA". Rfam says of the family: This family represents a bacterial cis-regulatory element known as RtT RNA. The exact function of RtT is unknown although it is thought that it may be involved in changing the cellular response in relation to amino acid starvation. Lineage: Bacteria; Pseudomonadati; Pseudomonadota; Gammaproteobacteria; Enterobacterales; Enterobacteriaceae. The record is from RNAcentral. RNAcentral also lists the same sequence under 1 other name.